Long non-coding RNA from Arabidopsis thaliana (thale cress), 331 nucleotides. RefSeq annotates it as other RNA. The record is from RefSeq. The transcript has a single exon. NCBI's taxonomy places the organism in Eukaryota, Viridiplantae, Streptophyta, Magnoliopsida, Brassicales, Brassicaceae.
AAACUCUUUUCUAUCUCCAUGACCGAUACUUGCUCGCGGGCGAUCCAAUUCCAGCGACAUCAAUCUCGGUUGUUGGUACCCAACAGCAAUCAAAUCCUGAAGCCAAGCAGCUGUGAAUUUCAAAUCCUGUUCUGUCCAAAACCCUUCUUCAGCCAUAGCAAAGCUCAAAUCAAGGACCGUCUCAAAGAAACUAUGCUUCUCUGAUCUCCAAGCAAGUAAGAACUUGAUCAAACGACCAACAUUAACAUGAAGAUCCUUCUCCUCUACAAAAGGGUAAGCCUCGAUUCUAUCAAACCGGUGAGCUGUAGGUGGAUAAACAGCAACAUAACCA